Molecule: ribosomal RNA, 253 nt
Filed under: uncultured bacterium
Lineage: Bacteria
Description: partial 16S ribosomal RNA
Rfam family: Bacterial small subunit ribosomal RNA
Source: RNAcentral
GACGAAGGGGGCUAGCGUUGUUCGGAAUUACUGGGCGUAAAGCGCGUGUAGGCGGUUGUUCAAGUCAGGUGUGAAAGCCUUGAGCUCAACUCAAGAAAUGCACUCGAUACUGGAUGACUAGAGGACCGGAGAGGAUAGUGGAAUUCCCAGUGUAGUGGUGAAAUACGUAGAGAUUGGGAAGAACACCAGUGGCGAAGGCGGCUAUCUGGACGGUUUCUGACGCUAAGACGCGAAAGCGUGGGGAGCAAACAGG